CACCCUACAACUAGCCACACAUCCUAAAAUCAACCUCUUUACAUAAAUACCCCCCAACUCCCCACCCCGCCACGUUAAACAAACCAUUUUUCCCCCUUAGUAUAGGCGAUAGAAAAGGGCCAGCUGUGAGCGAUAGAGAAAGUACCGCAAGGGAAAACUGAAAAAGAAAUGAAAUAAUUACAUAAGUUAACAGAAGCAGAGACUAAACCUCGUACCUCUUGCAUAAUGAUUUAGCCAGCAAACCCAAGCGAAGUGGACUUCAGUUUGUGCCCCCGAAACUAGGCGAGCUACUCCAAGACAGCCUUCAAGGGCAAACCCGUCUCUGUGGCAAAAGAGUGGGAAGAGCUUAGAGUAGAGGUGAUACGCCUACCGAGCCUAGUUAUAGCUGGUUGCCUGGGAAAUGAAUAGAAGUUCAGCCUUCCAGCUCUUAUUGCCCACCCCCACCCCUGGCGCCAAAAGAACCUGAAAGAGUUAGUCAAAGGGGGUACAGCCCCUUUGACAGAAGAAACAGCUUUACCAUGAGGAUAAAGAUCGGCUAAAACCCCUCACACUUAAGUAGGCCUGGAAGCAGCCAUCAUGAAAAAUAGCGUUAAAGCUUGAAAUUCCCUUACAGCCCACAAUGCCUAAAACCCAGUCUCACUCCCAUAGAUAUACCAGGCCCUCUCAUGCACCCAUGGGAAAGAUUAUGCUAAAAUGAGUAAUAAGGGGUCGCACCCCUCCCCGCGCAGGUGUACGUCGGUAAGGACCACCCACCGAUCUUUAACAGGCCCCCAUAAAAGAGGGCUAUGAGGGAGAAAUAAAAUACAAGAAAAUACCUCAUUAACACACCGUUAACCCCACACAGGCGUGCCUCCCGGGAAAGACUAAUUGAAGGAGAAGGAACUCGGCAAAUAUUCUACAAGCCUCGCCUGUUUACCAAAAACAUCGCCUCCUGCAAUUUACGAAUAGGAGGUCUUGCCUGCCCGGUGACUUAUAGUUUAACGGCCGCGGUAUUAUGACCGUGCAAAGGUAGCAUAAUCAUUUGUCCUUUAAAUGGGGACCCGUAUGAAUGGCACGACGAGGGCUUAACUGUCUCCCCCUUCCGGUCAAUGAAAUUGAUCUUCCUGUGAAAAAGCAGGAAUAUAGACAUAAGACGAGAAGACCCUAUGGAACUUUAGACACUAGAGCAGACCAUAUCAAUAAGCCCCACCUUGCACCGGGGAAAAAACCAAGUGGCACCCCUGCUCAAAUGUCUUUGGUUGGGGCGACCACGGGGGAAAGAAAGCCCCCGCGCGGAAUAGGCACAACCCUGCCUUCAACGAAGAGUUCCCGCUCUAGUUAACAGGAUUUCUUGACCAGACGGAUCCGGCAACGCCGACCUACGGACCGAGCUACCCUAGGGAUAACAGCGCAAUCUCCCCCAAGAGGCCUUAUCGACGGGGAGGCUUACGACCUCGAUGUUGGAUCAGGACAUCCUAUUGGUGCAGCCGCUAUUAAGGGUUCGUUUGUUCAACGAUUAAUAGUCCUACGUGAUCUGAGUUCAGACCGGAGUAAUCCAGGUCAGUUUCUAUCUAUGACUUGGUCUUUUCUAGUACGCAAGGACCGAGAAGACAGGGCCCCUGCUAAAAGUACACCCCAACCCAACUAAUGAAAGCAACUAAAAUAGACAACAAAGCAUUCC
Molecule: ribosomal RNA, 1660 nt
Filed under: Cryptopsaras couesii (triplewart seadevil)
Lineage: Eukaryota; Metazoa; Chordata; Actinopteri; Lophiiformes; Ceratiidae
Description: 16S rRNA
Rfam family: Bacterial large subunit ribosomal RNA (bases 100-1570)
Source: RNAcentral